UAGGGAAUCUUCCGCAAUGGACGCAAGUCUGACGGAGCAACGCCGCGUGAGUGAAGAAGGAUUUCGGUUCGUAAAACUCUGUUGUUAGAGAAGAACAGCGCAUAGAGUAACUGUUAUGCGUGUGACGGUAUCUAACCAGAAAGCCACGGCUAACUACGUGCCAGCAGCCGCGGUAAUACGUAGGUGGCAAGGGUUGUCCGGAUUUAUUGGGCGUAAAGCGAGCGCAGGCGGUCAAUUAAGUCUGAUGUGAAAGCCCCCGGCUCAACCGGGGAGGGUCAAUGGAAACUGGUUGAAUUGAGUGCAGAAGAGGAGAGUGGAAUUCCAUGUGUAGCGGUGAAAUGCGUAGAGAUAUGGAGGAACACCAGUGGCGAAGGCGACUCUCUGGUCUGUAACUGACGCGGAGGCUCGAAAGCGUGGGUAGCAAACAGG
RNAcentral lists this ribosomal RNA (429 nucleotides) under Bacteroidota bacterium. Its description in RNAcentral is "Bacteroidetes bacterium partial 16S ribosomal RNA". It matches the Rfam family "Bacterial small subunit ribosomal RNA", at positions 355 to 776 of the family's 1533-position model. Lineage: Bacteria; Pseudomonadati; Bacteroidota. The record is from RNAcentral.